UACGAAGGGUGCAAGCGUUACUCGGAAUUACUGGGCGUAAAGCGUGCGUAGGUGGUCGUUUAAGUCCGUUGUGAAAGCCCUGGGCUCAACCUGGGAACUGCAGUGGAUACUGGGCGACUAGAGUGUGGUAGAGGGUAGCGGAAUUCCUGGUGUAGCAGUGAAAUGCGUAGAGAUCAGGAGGAACAGCCAUGGCGAAGGCAGCUACCUGGACCAACACUGACACUGAGGCACGAAAGCGUGGGGAGCAAACAGGAUUAGAUACCCUGGUAGUCCACGCCCUAAACGAUGCGAACUGGAUGUUGGGUGCACUUUGGCACGCAGUCUCGAAGCUAACGCGUUACGUUCGCCGCCUGGGGAGUACGGUCGCAAGACUGAA
RNAcentral lists this ribosomal RNA (376 nucleotides) under uncultured bacterium. RNAcentral's name for it is "bacterial SSU rRNA". It matches the Rfam family "Bacterial small subunit ribosomal RNA", at positions 524 to 898 of the family's 1533-position model. The record is from RNAcentral.